AGAAGCACCGGCUAACUCCGUGCCAGCAGCCGCGGUAAUACGGAGGGUGCAAGCGUUAAUCGGAAUUACUGGGCGUAAAGCGCACGCAGGCGGUCUGUCAAGUCGGAUGUGAAAUCCCCGGGCUCAACCUGGGAACUGCAUUCGAAACUGGCAGGCUAGAGUCUUGUAGAGGGGGGUAGAAUUCCAGGUGUAGCGGUGAAAUGCGUAGAGAUCUGGAGGAAUACCGGUGGC
Molecule: ribosomal RNA, 231 nt
Filed under: Klebsiella pneumoniae
Lineage: Bacteria; Pseudomonadati; Pseudomonadota; Gammaproteobacteria; Enterobacterales; Enterobacteriaceae
Description: partial 16S ribosomal RNA
Rfam family: Bacterial small subunit ribosomal RNA
Source: RNAcentral